UGGCCUGCCCGGUGGAUAUCUAAACGGCUGCAGCGAGAGCUGUGCUAAGGUAGCGCGGUAAGUUGUCUUUUAAUUGGAGAAUGGUAUGAAUGGUUUAACGUAGAAUAACUGUCUUUGAGGAAUAGAGUUAAAUUUCCAUUUAAGUGAAAAGGCUUAUAUUUUUGUAAAAGACGAGAAGACCCUAUCGAACUUAAUUAAGAUUGUUUGUCGACGACAAUUAGAAUUUUUGUUGGGGCAACAUAAGUCGAAAGAACGAUUUAAUGACUAAGCAUCGAUCCUUGUUGCGAGAAAAAGGCAAAAGUUACCGUAGGGAUAACAGCGUUAUCCUUCUUGAGAGAUCGAAUUGAGGGAAGGGUUUGCGACCUCGAUGUUGGAUUAUAGAAACUUCUUGGUGCAGCAGCUAUGAUGGUGAGACUGUUCGUCUUUUAAAUCUAUACGUGA
This 441-nucleotide ribosomal RNA is filed under the name Chamelea striatula. Its description in RNAcentral is "partial large subunit ribosomal RNA". It matches the Rfam family "Bacterial large subunit ribosomal RNA", at positions 1854 to 2603 of the family's 2925-position model. The record is from RNAcentral. Lineage: Eukaryota; Metazoa; Mollusca; Bivalvia; Venerida; Veneridae.